UUCCAGAUUCCCAGAAGGUGUGUGAGUGUGUGUCAGAGCGGGGCUGGGGGUCAUCCACAGAUCAGAGCACAGGCAUAGAGAGAGAGCUUCUGAGGAUAGGAUCACCUGUUGGUCACAUCCUACACCCUGAAGCCUGAGGACCUGUCACUUGGACCCACCGCCAGCCAAAGCAGCAUCAGUCACUGGCCAGAGGAGCACAGAAGUCACAGGAGUGCUCACAAUGUCCGGUGUCCUGGAGAAGCUCUGGAAUAAAUACACCUGGGCCUUUGAAAACGGAGACCUGAGGACAGAGUCCCGGUUCCUGAUACACUUGCCACUCCCUGUCCCCCUUCUUUUUAUCUUCUAUCUUCUGGUGGUGGCAAGUCCUCACUUCAUGUCUGGAUGGGAGCCCCUGAAGUUGGCAAGACCCCUUGUCGUCUAUAACCCAAGCCUGGUGGCUCUCUCAGGGACCUAUCCUGUGAGCCUUCUUCAUCAAGAUGCUGAAGCUUUGGUCCAUGUCUUCACAUAUCUGUACCAUGGACUGACCAGUCCGUGGCCCUGUGUGAAGCUCUACCUGUGGUGGAAGUGACAUUUAACCAUCCUUCAGCAGGGUCAGUUUGUGGCCACUGCUGCCCACUCCUCCUACAAUCUCUUCACUGAGUGCUCCUUCCCUGAUGGGCUUGACACGGUGGGCCUCCUGUCCACCUUCAGUGUCAUCGGCCUUUUCCUCAAUUGCUACCACCAGACACACCUGAGGAGCAAGCGGGAGAAACUGACUUAAGGCGCAGGACCCAAGGACUGGAGCUAGCAGAGCUGUCUCCACAGAGAGUUGGCAGAAGACAUCAUGGGCCAUAGCCUACCUGUCCUGAGAAGAUACCUCGCAGAUACCUUUUCUGGGCUUGCAUUUCAUUUUGUGAAGGAUGGAGGAGAAUUGCCUUUUUUCCCCCAGAGUUCAGGAGGAUAGAAAUGGACCAAAUUUCCUGCAUUCACUUCUGUUACAGCACUUCUCCAUGAAUUUGUAACUGUUUGUACUUCUCCUUCCUUUACUGGAUAUGAGCCCUCACAGGGGAGACUGCCUUAUUCCAAUGUUCCCCACACCUGUCACAGCACAUCAAUGAAUGUGCAUUUGGAUCCUGGUAACCCGCCACUGGCAGUCAUAACCUCUGGUGAAGAUCAGGGCUGGCAACAUGCCAGAAGUCAAGGCUGGCUUGAUAGCUCACCUUGCAGUGGGAAAUGAUGAUAAGAAUAUCCAAGAGUGAGUGUGGGUCUGUUUGGUUUCUAGCGUGGCUAUGUGAACAUUUGCCCCUGCAUCUCUUCUAGUCUGUUGACUACCACCUACACUUGUAGUUAUGUAGUUGUAUGAUUCUCUGUGUGUGAAAGGGCUGAUGGAGAUGGCUAUGGGUAUACGUCUAAAUAUUUGUCUUCAAAUAUACAUGCACGAUCCCUUUGAGUUUCUCUCCGUGUUGUUUGCUUGUCUCUUCUAUAAGUCUCUGUAAGUGCCACAUGGUAAUAAAGGCCAACUGGGA
RNAcentral lists this long non-coding RNA (1505 nucleotides) under Ailuropoda melanoleuca (giant panda). RNAcentral's name for it is "lncRNA (ENSAMEG00000027922.1)". Lineage: Eukaryota; Metazoa; Chordata; Mammalia; Carnivora; Ursidae. The record is from RNAcentral.